UAAUACGGAGGGUGCAAGCGUUGUCCGGAUUUAUUGGGUUUAAAGGGUGCGUAGGUGGUCCUGUAAGUCUGGUUUGAAAGCUGGUGGCUUAACCAUCAGAUGUGGCUGGAAACUGUGGGACUUGAAUGGGUUGGCGGUAGCUGGAACGGGUCAUGUAGCGGUGAAAUGCAUAGAUAUGACCCAGAACCCCGAUUGCGAAGGCAGGCUACUACGACUUGAUUGACACUGAGGCACGAGAGCAUGGGGAGCCAACAGGAUUAGAUACCCUGGUAGUCCAUGCCGUAAACGAUGAUUACUGGCUGUUUGUGAGAUAUCAUGAGUGGCUGAGCGAAAGCGUUAAGUAAUCCACCUGGGGAGUACGCCGGCAACGGUGAAACUUAAAGGAAUUGACGG
RNAcentral lists this ribosomal RNA (393 nucleotides) under uncultured bacterium. RNAcentral describes it as "bacterial SSU rRNA". It matches the Rfam family "Bacterial small subunit ribosomal RNA", at positions 521 to 916 of the family's 1533-position model. The record is from RNAcentral.